AAGGAGUUACCAUGAUAGAGAUGAAUGAUUGUCGUGUGGUGUAUCUUGAAGUUGUCAUUUCGGUGACUAAAGAGAAUAUUGAAUUUUCUACCAACGGAUUUGUUGAAACUGGAAAUGGUCAAGAUAAAGUUACGGACAUAGAGAUGAACAUGAAUGAUGUCCAAAAGCAAAAUCGUAAGAGCUGGACCCAAAGCGGACAAUAUAAUAUGAAGACACGUUGGGUUUAAAUUUACAGUUUUGUGUUUGUUUUUGUUUAAAAGGUUAUGCUCAUCAAUUAUUGUCUUGUUGUGUAUCUUGAAGUUGUCAUUUUGGUGACUAAAGAGAAUGUUGAAUUUUAUACCAACGAAUUUGUUGAAACUGGAAAUGAUCAAGAUGAAGUUACGGACAUAGAGAUGAAAACUUGUGAAAAAGCCUGAAGGAGUUACCGUGAUAGAGAUGAAUGAUUGUCUUGUGGUCUAUCUUGAAGUUGUCAUUUCGGUGACUAAAGAGGAUGUUGAAUUUUCUACAAACGAAUUUGUUGAAACUGGAAAUGGUCAAGAUGAAGUUAAAGACAUAGAGAUGAACAUGGAUGAUGUCCAAAAGCAAAAUCGUAAGAGCUGGGCCCAAAGCGGACAAUAUAAUACGAAGACACGUUAGGUUUAAAUUUUCAGUUUUGUGUUUGUUUUUGUUUAAAAGGUUAUGCUUAUGAAUGAUUGUCUUGUUGUGUAUCUUGAAGUUGUCAUUUCGGUGACUAAAGAGAAUGUUGAAUUUUCUACCAACGGAUUUGUUGAAAUUGGAAAUGGUCAAGAUGAAGUUACGGACAUAGAGAUGAAAACUUGUGAAAAAGUCUGAAGGAGUUACCGUGAUAGAGAUGAAUGAGCCUGUCCUAGCGGAGUUUUCAGUGAAAGAUUUGAAUAAUUUCGCCUAGAGGGCAACACCGUUCUUGAUAUGGUUAUUAUGAGUCUGUUUACUAGGGUGCCGCCACUGCAGGAACAUAGAACUGAAGAUGUCAGUUAUGUUCUGGUGGAGUACAACAUUGCUGAGAUUGAUUUUCUUUAGUUCUAUUUGAUUGAGAGUUCUAAAUCAGGAGAGGUCGACGGAGACAAAGAAGACACAACAUCAACAUAAUCUGUUUUUGAACAUUCUAAUUUUAAC
This is a non-coding RNA of Cajanus cajan (pigeon pea), 1134 nucleotides long. The record is from RefSeq and is a predicted model, not a curated record. Lineage: Eukaryota; Viridiplantae; Streptophyta; Magnoliopsida; Fabales; Fabaceae.